UUUAACGGCCGCGGUAUUUUGACCGUGCAAAGGUAGCGCAAUCACUUGUCUUUUAAAUGAAGACCUGUAUGAAUGGCAUAACGAAGGCUUAACUGUCUCCUUUUUCCAGUCAAUGAAAUUGAUCCCCCCGUGCAGAAGCGGGGAUAAAUACAUAAGACGAGAAGACCCUAUGGAGCUUUAGACUAAAACAGACCUUGUAAUAACACAAACACAAAACAAAUUGAUUACUGUCUUAAUGUCUUCGGUUGGGGCGACCAAGGGGAAAAAAACAACCCCCAUGUGGAAAGAGAAAAUCCUCUUACAAUUCAGAUAAACACAUCUAAUCACCAGAACUUCUGACCAAAUAUGAUCCGGUAUUACCGAUCAACGAACCAAGUUACCCUAGGGAUAACAGCGCAAUCCUUUUUUAGAGUCCAUAUCGACAAAAGGGUUUACGACCUCGAUGUUGGAUCAGGACAUCCUAAUGGUGUAGCCGCUAUUAAGGGUUCGUUUGUUCAACGAUUAAAGUCCU
Molecule: ribosomal RNA, 511 nt
Filed under: Nomorhamphus ravnaki
Lineage: Eukaryota; Metazoa; Chordata; Actinopteri; Beloniformes; Zenarchopteridae
Description: partial 16S large subunit ribosomal RNA
Rfam family: Bacterial large subunit ribosomal RNA
Source: RNAcentral